AAGUCGUAACAAGGUUUCCGUAGGUGAACCUGCGGAAGGAUCAUUAUCACGUAUCCACGUAGUAACUCCCGUGAACCUAAAAUCCUCUUGGGUGCAAGGUGGCACAGAUAUUUUCCCGUUGUUUCGUGAUUUAAGGAUAGUCUGUGUCUGGUGUAGAAACCAAACUUUGUGCUCUUGAGCGUACGUUUUAAACCACGAUAUUUUAACCUUAUUAACAACUUGUACCUUUCGAACUGAUUUGUUUCAUGUCUUUUCCGCAAGGAAAUGCCUGAAAUAUUGUACGAAACGCAAAACAACUCUUAGCAACGGAUAUCUUGGUUCCCAUAACGAUGAAGAACGCAGC
Molecule: unclassified non-coding RNA, 343 nt
Filed under: fungal sp.
Lineage: Eukaryota; Fungi
Description: partial internal transcribed spacer region
Rfam family: Eukaryotic small subunit ribosomal RNA (bases 1-46)
Source: RNAcentral